Molecule: non-coding RNA, 3714 nt
Organism: Oryza sativa Japonica Group (Japanese rice)
Lineage: Eukaryota; Viridiplantae; Streptophyta; Magnoliopsida; Poales; Poaceae
Source: RefSeq, a predicted model, not a curated record
CCUUCGUCUUACUUUUUGAGAAGAAAAUUCUGGUUUAGGAAGAGUUACCUCAUGUAGACGUCUUUCUCUCUGCUCAUGUAAAUUCAUGUAAAUCGCUUUCAAUACUAGAUCAGAAAAUUCAUGUAAAUUGCUUUCAAUACCUGCACAAAUUUCUUGUAGACGUGUUUCUCUCUGCUUCGUUCCUUCUUUAUCAUCUCUAGAAUCCUGGCUCACUAUGCAAAAUCCCAUCUUGACCACUUGCUCCUGAGUCCUGAUAGAGCUUGGCUUGGUAUGGAGAUUCUGAUUUCUGCUGUGGCAGGUGAACUUAUCAGCCGGUUCAUCUCUUCGCUACAACAAUAUUACAGCAACCACACAAGCGAGGAAGAUGAUCGUACAAGGUUGCAGCGGAUCUUGCUCAGGAUGCACUCUGUUGUUGAGGAGGCAGAAGGACGCCACAUCACAAACCAGGGGAUGCUCCUACAGCUAAAGGGACUUAUCGAGGGAUUCUACCAUGGUUACCACAUUCUCGACAAGGUCACCUUCCAACCCCCAGAAGAAGAGAGCAUCAAAGAUGAGGUGAUUCACGAGAUAAAUUCAUCUGCCUUGAUUACUUCGAAUUCGGCCAAGCGGUUUCGUUUUGCUGAUGCUCUAAGGAAACACACACCAAUUUCCUUUGCUAGCAGGAGCACAACAAACCUGAAAGGUGUUGUUGAAGAUUUAGAAACUAAGAUCGCGGAUAUGAGAGAGUUUGUCAUGCUCCUAGGCAGCUACCCUCGCCUACCUCGCCAGCCUUACAGUACAUAUCUGUUCAUGGAUAAGUGUAUGUUUGGUCGCCGUGUUGAGAAAGAGAAAGUCAUCGACUUCUUGCUUUGCAGUGAUCUUCCUGAUACAUAUGUCAGCAUUCUUCCAAUUAUUGGUCCACACAGAAUUGGAAAGAAAACUCUUGUGCAGCAUGCUUGCCAGGAUGACAGGGUGAAGAGCUGCUUCUCCCAUAUAUUUUUCUUUAAAGAAGAUGAUCUGAAGAUGGGAGAGCUGUUGCUUAACUCCAAGGCUUCUCCAGGGAAGUAUUUGUUUGUUAUUGAGUUCAUUUGUGAUGUGAAUGAGGCAGCAUGGACCAAAUUCCAAUCAUAUUUGCAGAAUAUGCCCAGUACUGAAAUUAAGGUUGUAAUCAUUGGUAGAACAGAUGAUGUUACUAAGUUUGGGACAACCCAACCCAUCAGGAUGAAGAGGCUGUCUGAAGAAGAGUACUGGUACUACUUCAAGGCACUUUCUUUUGGAAGCAUGAAUCCUGAUGAGCAUCCAAAGCUAGCAUCUCUGGGCAUGCAGUUAGCUACUGAGAUGAAUGGAUCAUUUCUUGGUGCAAAUAUACUAGGUGAACUCUUAAGAGCUAAUCCUAACACUCAAUUCUGGCAGAGUAUCUUAUUAAGCUUAAGAGGGUUUGUACAAAAGAACUUGUGUUGGUUUGGUGUACACCCUGAAGAUCUUCUUGAAAGAAAUACCCCUGUUGAUUUCACCAGGAUGGCCUUUCUUGGUGCUCAAGUUCAUGGUUGCCUGGUUUAUGAUCUUAGGGUCGCUGGCCCUGCACAAAAUCAGCUACCAAAACUAACGUCAAGAGAAGUGUUAUUGGGAGGUAAUAUUCCCGUCGAACAGAAGUUUGAUGUGCUGGUAUGGAAAUCUGGCAUUCCACCAUACUGUGAUUACAUAGCUACUUUUGAGAAACAGAAACCACGGCGUGUGGUUGGGAAGAGGAAUACCAUCUACCACUGAGAAAACACAAGCUCAAAUCUUAAUUUGGGGGAGAACUCUACAAAUUAAGAAAUUAUAUCGUCGUUGCAAGUGAUCUUUCAGCCAUUUCAUCUCCUUUUGGAUCCAGAAAUUUGAGAAGCGGCACACAACAGUGGAGGGGAAGGAAUCUUGAUAGGCUGAACAGCAUCCUUCUAAAGAUCCACACCAUCGUUGAGGUCUCAUGGCAGAUCACAACCUGAGGAAUGAUCCUCCAGUUUUGGCGCCUAUGGUAGGGUUAGGCUCACAAUGGACAUGCUCAUCUCUGCAGUUGCAAGUGAUCUUGUGAGCCGGUUCAUCUCCUACCUGGUCCAUAAAUCUGAGAAGCAGCACACGACAACAGAGCAGGACCUGGAGAGGCUGAAGAGUGUUCUCCUAAGGAUCUACACCAUAGUUGAGGAGGCGGAGGCACGACAAAUCAGGAACAGAGGAAUGAUCCUUCAACUCAAGGGUCUCAUGGAAGGUAUGUUUCUUGGGUAUUAUGUUCUUGACUCCUUCCAGUUCCAGUGUGUUGAAGAGGAGGGUGUAGAUGAAGAUCACCAGGUCAGUUGCAAGCGCCUUCGGUUCAGUACCUGCACAAGGAGCACUUCAUUGUUAUCACUCGGUACAGAGAACACACCUGUGCUUAAGAAUGUUAUUGAAAGUUUGGAGACCAAAAUUUGUGAUGUGAGGGAGCUUGUUGUGCUGCUAGCCAGUUGCCCUCGUCUUCCUCAGCAACCCUAUUGCACAUAUCUGUUCAUGGAAAAGAGUUUGUUUGGUCGCCAUGUCGAGAAAGAGCAAGUAAUCGACUUUAUACUACAUGAUGAUCAGAACCUGGCUGUCCUUCCUAUCAUUGGGCCUCACAGAAUUGGGAAGAGAACCCUUGUCCAUCAUGCUUGUCAAGAUGAACGGGUUCGUGGUCGCUUCCUGAAUAUUGUUUUCUUCCAUGGUGAUGAUCUUGGAAACAUUUCAUUAAUGCCUUCAACGAAAUACUUGUGCAUAGUUGAGUUCAGUUGGGAUGUUGAUGCGGAAGCAUGGAAGAUCUUUCGAUCAUCUAUGAAGAAGGCAGCUAUAAGUGGCAGUAAAGUCAUUAUCAUAGGAAGAACAGAUGAGAUUGCCAAGUGGGGAACAACACCAGCAAUCAGGUUGAACAGAUUGUCACCAGAAAUGUACUGGUACUACUUCAAGGCACUUUCUUUUGGAAGCAUGAACCCUGACGACCAUCCAAAGCUGGCUUCUCUAGGAAUGCAACUGGCAACAGAACUACAGGGAUCAUUUCUUGGUGCAAACAUACUUGGCCACAUACUAAGGGGUAAUCCAAGUGCUGAAAUCUGGAGUGGGUUCUUGAUGAGCUUGAGGAUGUCACGAAAGCGCUUAUCCAUCUUCGAGGAGCAUCCUCCUGAGAAGAACCACCCUUCUCAUACAGCUGAAGUAGCGUUCAUGAAUUAUCGAGGUUGUAUGUUGUAUGAUCUUAGGGAGGCUGGCCAUUUCCAGAGUGAUAUUCCCAGAUUAACACCAGCAGGAGUAGAGCUAGAAGGCAAAAUUCCUUGUGAUUUGGGGUUUGAUGUGCUGGUAUGGAGAUCUCAAAUCCCGCCAUUCUGCAACUACAUAGCUACAUUUUUGCAGCCAAAGCCCCGGCGCAUUGUCAGAAGGAACAAGAAUCCCCUGGCAGUUAGUAUUACUUAUCAAUCAUGAUCUUGUAUGAAGGACAUAUGCCCUCCAAUUUCUGGUCGAUCUGAUCAGAAUUCGGAUGGUCAAGAUCGAUUGGGAUGGUAAAGAAUCUAUAUGCAUAACAAUCACAGUAACCUGUAACUUGUUCCAGAUACUAGUGUACCUGUACAUCCGCUUCUUCUUCUUUUUUCUUUUCUUUUUUUUCUUUUUUUUUUGCUGGUUUGGAUGUGUGUAGUUUAAGGUAGUAAGGAAUUGAUGUGGGUUUUAAAAAAUAACAAUUAUUUCCUCGUUUCUUUUGCCCCA